GACGAACGCUGGCGGCGCGCUUAACACAUGCAAGUCGAGCGAUGAAAUUUCGACAGAUCCCUUCGGGGUGAAGAUGAAAUGGAUUAGCGGCGGACGGGUGAGUAACACGUGAGUAACCUGCCUUUGACAUUGGGAUAGCCUCGGGAAACUGGGAUUAAUACCAAAUGACACUAACUGGUCACAUGAUCAAUUAGUCAAAGAAAUUCGGUCAAAGAUGGACUCGCGGCUGAUUAGCUAGUUGGUGAGGUAACGGCCCACCAAGGCGACGAUCAGUAGCCGGCCUGAGAGGGUGAUCGGCCACAUUGGAACUGAGACACGGUCCAAACUCCUACGGGAGGCAGCAGUGGGGAAUAUUGCACAAUGGGGGAAACCCUGAUGCAGCGACGCCGCGUGAGCGAAGAAGGCCUUCGGGUCGUAAAGCUCUUUUAUGAGGGAAGAUAAUGACGGUACCUCAAGAAAAAGCCCCGGCUAACUACGU
RNAcentral lists this ribosomal RNA (478 nucleotides) under uncultured bacterium. RNAcentral's name for it is "bacterial SSU rRNA". It matches the Rfam family "Bacterial small subunit ribosomal RNA", at positions 28 to 506 of the family's 1533-position model. The record is from RNAcentral.